RNAcentral lists this ribosomal RNA (250 nucleotides) under uncultured bacterium. RNAcentral describes it as "partial 16S ribosomal RNA". It matches the Rfam family "Bacterial small subunit ribosomal RNA", at positions 107 to 353 of the family's 1533-position model. The record is from RNAcentral.
UGAGUAACGCGUGAGCAACCUGCCCUUCAGUGGGGGACAACGGCUGGAAACGGCCGCUAAUACCGCAUAACGUGUGGAGUCCGCAUGGACAUCACACCAAAGGAGUAAUUCGCUGAAGGAUGGGCUCGCGUCCGAUUAGCUAGUUGGUGAGGUAACGGCCCACCAAGGCGACGAUCGGUAGCCGAACUGAGAGGUUGAUCGGCCGCAUUGGGACUGAGACACGGCCCAGACUCCUACGGGAGGCAGCAUG